Molecule: unclassified non-coding RNA, 247 nt
Filed under: uncultured Dictyosporium
Lineage: Eukaryota; Fungi; Ascomycota; Dothideomycetes; Pleosporales
Description: sequence contains ITS2
Source: RNAcentral
AACGCACAUUGCGCCCCUUGGUAUUCCAUUGGGCAUGCCUGUUCGAGCGUCAUUUAACCCCUCAAGCACUGCUUGGUGUUGGGCGUUUGUCUGCGUAUCUAGCACGGACUCGCCCCAAAAGAAUUGGCAGCGGCUUGCCGGCCUCUUGCGCAGCACUUUGCGCUCCUUGAGGAUCCGGUAGGCUUGCGUCCAUCAAGAUCACCCCCAGUUUGACCUCGAAUCAGGUAGGGAUACCCGCUGAACUUAA